GAUGAACGCUGGCGGCGCGCCUAACACAUGCAAGUCGAACGGCACCCCUCCUCGUAGGGAUGCGAGUGGCGAACGGCUGAGUAACACGUGGAGAACCUGCCCCCUCCCCCGGGAUAGCCGCCCGAAAGGACGGGUAAUACCGGAUACCCCGGGGUGCCGCAUGGCACCCCGGCUAAAGCCCCGACGGGAGGGGAUGGCUCCGCGGCCCAUCAGGUAGACGGCGGGGUGACGGCCCACCGUGCCGACAACGGGUAGCCGGGUUGAGAGACCGACCGGCCAGAUUGGGACGGAGACACGGCCCAGACUCCUACGGGAGGCAGCAGUGGGGAAUCUUGCGCAAUGGGGGGAACCCUGACGCAGCGACGGCGCGUGCGGGACGGAGGCCUUCGGGUCGUAAACCGCUUUCAGCAGGGAAGAGUCAAGACGGUACCUGCAGAAGAAGCCCCGGCUAACUACGUG
RNAcentral lists this ribosomal RNA (459 nucleotides) under uncultured bacterium. RNAcentral describes it as "partial 16S ribosomal RNA". It matches the Rfam family "Bacterial small subunit ribosomal RNA", at positions 28 to 507 of the family's 1533-position model. The record is from RNAcentral.